GAGCUUUGGCAGCACAUGUACUAAAAUUGGAACAGUACAGAGAAGAUUAGCAUGCCCCCUGAGCAAGGAUAACACACAAAUUCAUCAGGCAUUCCAUAUUUUU
This 103-nucleotide small nuclear RNA is filed under the name Dasypus novemcinctus (nine-banded armadillo). The record is from RNAcentral. Lineage: Eukaryota; Metazoa; Chordata; Mammalia; Cingulata; Dasypodidae.